This 52-nucleotide transfer RNA is filed under the name Streptomyces griseoflavus Tu4000. RNAcentral's name for it is "partial tRNA-Val". It matches the Rfam family "tRNA", at positions 1 to 51 of the family's 71-position model. From Rfam's summary of the family: Transfer RNA (tRNA) molecules are approximately 80 nucleotides in length. Their secondary structure includes four short double-helical elements and three loops (D, anti-codon, and T loops). Further hydrogen bonds mediate the characteristic L-shaped molecular structure. tRNAs have two regions of fundamental functional importance: the anti-codon, which is responsible for specific mRNA codon recognition, and the 3' end, to which the tRNAs corresponding amino acid is attached (by aminoacyl-tRNA synthetases). tRNAs cope with the degeneracy of the genetic code in two manners: having more than one tRNA (with a specific anti-codon) for a particular amino acid; and 'wobble' base-pairing, i.e. permitting non-standard base-pairing at the 3rd anti-codon position. The record is from RNAcentral. Lineage: Bacteria; Bacillati; Actinomycetota; Actinomycetes; Kitasatosporales; Streptomycetaceae.
GGGUGCGUAGCUCAGGGGUAGAGCGCCUGCCUUACAAGCAGGAUGUCGGCGG